RNAcentral lists this non-coding RNA (31 nucleotides) under Mus musculus (house mouse). The record is from RNAcentral. Lineage: Eukaryota; Metazoa; Chordata; Mammalia; Rodentia; Muridae.
UNUUCAAGGAAUGCUGCUGCUCUAUUAACCC